This 486-nucleotide ribosomal RNA is filed under the name uncultured bacterium. RNAcentral's name for it is "bacterial SSU rRNA". It matches the Rfam family "Bacterial small subunit ribosomal RNA", at positions 29 to 506 of the family's 1533-position model. The record is from RNAcentral.
AANGAACGUUUGCGGCGGGCUUAACACAUGCAAGUCGAACGGGCUGUUCCUUCGGGGGCAGUCAGUGGCGCACGGGUGCGUAACACGUAGGUAAUCAACCCUCUGGUUGGGGAUAACACUUCGAAAGGAGUGCUAAUACCCGGUAUGGCGCAGCGGUCUUCGGAAUCGCGGCGAGAAAGACCCGCAAGGGUUGCCAGAGGACGAGCCUGCGGCCCAUCAGCUAGUUGGCGAGGUAACGGCUCACCAAGGCGAAGACGGGUAGCUGGUCUGAGAGGAUGAUCAGCCACACUGGAACUGAGACACGGUCCAGACUCCUACGGGAGGCAGCAGUGGGGAAUAUUGCGCAAUGGGCGAAAGCCUGACGCAGCCACGCCGCGUGAGCGAUGAAGGCCUGGUCGUAAGACUCUGUGGGAGGAGAAGAAUAAAGACCUGUGAAGAGCAGGCCUUGACGGUAUACUCCUUAGUCAAGACACCGGCUAACUCCGU